ACGGGUGAGUAAUACGUGAGUAACCUACCUUUAACUCUGGGAUAAGCCUGGGAAACUGGGUCUAAUACCGGAUACGACCAAUCUCCGCAUGGGGUGUUGGUGGAAAGCGUUAUGUAGUGGUUAUAGAUGGGCUCACGGCCUAUCAGCUUGUUGGUGAGGUAACGGCUCACCAAGGCGACGACGGGUAGCCGGCCUGAGAGGGUGACCGGCCACACUGGGACUGAGACACGGCCCAGACUCCUACGGGAGGCAGCAGUGGGGAAUAUUGCACAAUGGGCGCAAGCCUGAUGCAGCGACGCCGCGUGAGGGAUGACGGCCUUCGGGUUGUAAACCUCUGUUAGCAGGGAAGAAGAGAGAUUGACGGUACCUGCAGAGAAAGCGCCGGCUAACUACGUGCCAGCAGCCGCGGUAAUACGUAGGGCGCGAGCGUUGUCCGGAAUUAUUGGGCGUAAAGAGCUUGUAGGCGGUUUGUCGCGUCUGCUGUGAAAGGCCGGGGCUUAACUCCGUGUAUUGCAGUGGGUACGGGCAGACUAGAGUGCAGUAGGGGAGACUGGAAUUCCUGGUGUAGCGGUGGAAUGCGCAGAUAUCAGGAGGAACACCGAUGGCGAAGGCAGGUUUCUGGGCUGUAACUGACGCUGAGAAGCGAAAGCAUGGGGAGCGAACAGGAUUAGAUACCCUGGUAGUCCAUGCCGUAAACGUU
This 700-nucleotide ribosomal RNA is filed under the name uncultured bacterium. Its description in RNAcentral is "bacterial SSU rRNA". It matches the Rfam family "Bacterial small subunit ribosomal RNA", at positions 102 to 810 of the family's 1533-position model. The record is from RNAcentral.